Molecule: long non-coding RNA, 274 nt
Organism: Cucumis sativus (cucumber)
Lineage: Eukaryota; Viridiplantae; Streptophyta; Magnoliopsida; Cucurbitales; Cucurbitaceae
Exons: 3
Source: RefSeq, a predicted model, not a curated record
AUUUAUCAAUCUUAUUUUUCACAGCAUAAAUGAAACUGUGUUUGAAGAAUCAGGUGCUGCUACAUCAUUCAAGGAAAUUCGUCGUAGAGGUCUUUCUCUUUACCAGAUUUCGUAGCUGAACUUUAAGAAGCAAUCAAACCGGUGUUAACUUCUUAUAUAAAGGUAGAUUCCCAAACUUUGAAGAAACGCUGCAGUACUGAGGUAAUUGAACGUUGUAAGGCAGAGCAUUGGGCUUACCGGAGCCAAGGUAUCUUCUUCGAUAACAAGUAAGGAU